This 301-nucleotide ribosomal RNA is filed under the name uncultured bacterium. RNAcentral describes it as "partial 16S ribosomal RNA". It matches the Rfam family "Bacterial small subunit ribosomal RNA", at positions 509 to 807 of the family's 1533-position model. The record is from RNAcentral.
CAGUCGCCACUGUAAUACGAAGGGUGCAAGCGUUAAUCGGAAUUACUGGGCGUAAAGCGUGCGUAGGCGGUGAGUUAAGUCUGCUGUGAAAUCCCCGGGCUCAACCUGGGAAUGGCAAUGGAUACUGGCAAGCUAGAGUGUGUCAGAGGAUGGUGGAAUUCCCGGCGUAGCGGUGAAAUGCGUAGAGAUCGGGAGGAACAUCAGUGGCGAAGGCGGCCAUCUGGGACAACACUGACGCUGAGGCACGAGAGCGUGGGGAGCAAACAGGAUUAGAUACCCCCGUAGUCCCUGUCUCUUAUAC